UGCCCACGUCCUGCCAUCCCAUCCCUUUCCCUCUGAAACCUCCCAGUCCCACGCCGCAUCUUCUCUUCUCCCAAGUCCCAACAACUUCUUCGCCGCCGCCGCCAUGCGCCAACCCCGCUGUCGCCCGUUGAUCCGGCUGCGCACCUCACCCUCGUCGCUCUCCCUGGCCCAGCAACAUCACCCACUCCCUGCUCUUCCUCCCGACGCGGAAGUGUCCUUUCGAGUCUCGUCUCUGUCUUCGUGGUCCUCAGAUCUGGCAGCCUCCGGCCACAACGCUGCCGGAUCUAACCAACCAAUAGGUGCUCGACGCCGCUCCUCAGGACCGCGUCGGUCUUCUUCGUCUGCUCUCUCUCUCUCCCUCAACCUCCCACGGCAUGUAUCGACCCCUUCUGAAACUCCUCAUCCGAGUGGCCACCUGAUGCCGCCGUGUAGAACACGCUCACUCCUGCCUUCGCCCGCCUGUACCAGGAUUUGCUCCUGUGGUUCAAGUUGAAUACUGGGGAGAUGGAGAUGGUGACAUGGCUGGCUUCUGUGGUGGUGAGGUUCAAGUUCUACAACGAGGUGGCCGUUGGGCCUAUCUGAAGAGCAACAAUGUAACGCUUUUGAGCUUAGGUACAAGAAGUCGUAUUUGAAAGGGGACGAGAUGAUGUUCAUCAAAAUGAAACUGAAAAGGAGUGGGAAACAAUACCGGAGGAAUCGUGAUCUAUGGCAAGGGUGAUGAUGUCUAUGGCGAUGAUUGUCAUGAUCUAUAUGGCAAUGGGCGUUAUGAUCCAUAUGGUGAUGAAGAUGAGUCUGAUCUUUCUUCAGGAUAUGCAACAAAGUGAACUUAUGAAGUUUUGGUCAAUUUUAGCUUAUGCAUAAUGCUUGGACCAUUAUAUCUUAAUUACUAUUUUUGUUUAGCACUUCAAACUUCCUAGAUAGAUCAUUAUGAUCGAUGUAAUUUGGAUCCGCUAAAUAUACUAUAUGUUACUUGGUCAUGUGUGGUUGUGCAAUUAUAAGAUAGUAUAUUUGAAGUGGAAAACAAUCCUUUUGGGGU
Aegilops tauschii subsp. strangulata is the source of this 1036-nucleotide long non-coding RNA. RefSeq lists it as uncharacterized. The record is from RefSeq and is a predicted model, not a curated record. NCBI's taxonomy places the organism in Eukaryota, Viridiplantae, Streptophyta, Magnoliopsida, Poales, Poaceae.